Molecule: small RNA, 409 nt
Filed under: Histoplasma capsulatum var. duboisii H88
Lineage: Eukaryota; Fungi; Ascomycota; Eurotiomycetes; Onygenales; Ajellomycetaceae
Description: Histoplasma capsulatum H88 hypothetical RNA
Source: RNAcentral
ACAUCUAUCUGAAUGAUUUCAGAGUUUUUCAAAUCAAGAAUAUCUAAUAUAUAGAAACAAUUUGAUACAUGCAAUAACAGAAUUUCAGCUCAGAAUCAAACAACUAUUUAAACUAUUCAAUCAAAGAAACUAAUAUCAAGAGAAUAACUGCCAGUCAAUAUAAAUACUUUAAGAAAAAACAGAAUAAAUAAAAGAAGAAUUAUCAAAACAUAUAGAAAAUAUUACUUACAGAGAAUGAAAGCAGAUAGCAUAAUUAAAAACACAAUAAAAUAUACACUUAAAACUAAAACUCAAUUUCAAAACAAUCAAUAUAAAAUAUAAUAAAAAAGAAAAUAUAAUAGAUAAAAAAAAUUAAAAAAAUAAAAAAUAAAGAAAAUUAAGCUUAAAAUUAAACAGAGUCUUAUAGUCA